This 1344-nucleotide ribosomal RNA is filed under the name Lactiplantibacillus plantarum. Its description in RNAcentral is "bacterial SSU rRNA". It matches the Rfam family "Bacterial small subunit ribosomal RNA", at positions 83 to 1414 of the family's 1533-position model. Lineage: Bacteria; Bacillati; Bacillota; Bacilli; Lactobacillales; Lactobacillaceae. The record is from RNAcentral.
ACAUUUGAGUGAGUGGCGAACUGGUGAGUAACACGUGGGAAACCUGCCCAGAAGCGGGGGAUAACACCUGGAAACAGAUGCUAAUACCGCAUAACAACUUGGACCGCAUGGUCCGAGUUUGAAAGAUGGCUUCGGCUAUCACUUUUGGAUGGUCCCGCGGCGUAUUAGCUAGAUGGUGGGGUAACGGCUCACCAUGGCAAUGAUACGUAGCCGACCUGAGAGGGUAAUCGGCCACAUUGGGACUGAGACACGGCCCAAACUCCUACGGGAGGCAGCAGUAGGGAAUCUUCCACAAUGGACGAAAGUCUGAUGGAGCAACGCCGCGUGAGUGAAGAAGGGUUUCGGCUCGUAAAACUCUGUUGUUAAAGAAGAACAUAUCUGAGAGUAACUGUUCAGGUAUUGACGGUAUUUAACCAGAAAGCCACGGCUAACUACGUGCCAGCAGCCGCGGUAAUACGUAGGUGGCAAGCGUUGUCCGGAUUUAUUGGGCGUAAAGCGAGCGCAGGCGGUUUUUUAAGUCUGAUGUGAAAGCCUUCGGCUCAACCGAAGAAGUGCAUCGGAAACUGGGAAACUUGAGUGCAGAAGAGGACAGUGGAACUCCAUGUGUAGCGGUGAAAUGCGUAGAUAUAUGGAAGAACACCAGUGGCGAAGGCGGCUGUCUGGUCUGUAACUGACGCUGAGGCUCGAAAGUAUGGGUAGCAAACAGGAUUAGAUACCCUGGUAGUCCAUACCGUAAACGAUGAAUGCUAAGUGUUGGAGGGUUUCCGCCCUUCAGUGCUGCAGCUAACGCAUUAAGCAUUCCGCCUGGGGAGUACGGCCGCAAGGCUGAAACUCAAAGGAAUUGACGGGGGCCCGCACAAGCGGUGGAGCAUGUGGUUUAAUUCGAAGCUACGCGAAGAACCUUACCAGGUCUUGACAUACUAUGCAAAUCUAAGAGAUUAGACGUUCCCUUCGGGGACAUGGAUACAGGUGGUGCAUGGUUGUCGUCAGCUCGUGUCGUGAGAUGUUGGGUUAAGUCCCGCAACGAGCGCAACCCUUAUUAUCAGUUGCCAGCAUUAAGUUGGGCACUCUGGUGAGACUGCCGGUGACAAACCGGAGGAAGGUGGGGAUGACGUCAAAUCAUCAUGCCCCUUAUGACCUGGGCUACACACGUGCUACAAUGGAUGGUACAACGAGUUGCGAACUCGCGAGAGUAAGCUAAUCUCUUAAAGCCAUUCUCAGUUCGGAUUGUAGGCUGCAACUCGCCUACAUGAAGUCGGAAUCGCUAGUAAUCGCGGAUCAGCAUGCCGCGGUGAAUACGUUCCCGGGCCUUGUACACACCGCCCGUCACACCAUGAGAGUUUG